RNAcentral lists this long non-coding RNA (478 nucleotides) under Astyanax mexicanus (Mexican tetra). RNAcentral describes it as "lncRNA (ENSAMXG00005021502.1)". The record is from RNAcentral. Lineage: Eukaryota; Metazoa; Chordata; Actinopteri; Characiformes; Acestrorhamphidae.
GCAGAAUAAACAGAUCGGCUUGUAUAUGCAAUAAAAAUGUAUAUAGUAAUUAUUAUUAUUAUUGUGAUUAUUAUUAUUACUAUUGUUUGUUGUUGUUGUUAUUGUUGUGAAAUUCCUUCACCAGCAUUGUAGUGCUUCUCAUUAUUUAGAUGUGCGUUGCCGUGGAAUCAAUUCUCAGAGACACAUAUAAAUUACUGUUUAACGAGACGCCAUAUUCCAUAAAUUAUUCAAAACACCUGGGAUUACAAUAUGAGAUCAAAUGAUAGGAAAGAAAGAGUACUCUGCUGGAGGCAGCGUGAACACCAGCCAUCACACUCUCGUUUUGAUGUUAAAUAAGGCAGUCGCUCGGCGAGCUGCUCAGACAGGAAUAAUUGGCUCGCCUGCUGAUGUGAGCAAGGGGAAUGAGUCGAAGAUGCAAUUUUGCACCUGCGUCAAUGACGACCGCAGAGACAUACGGUGGAGAAGGGGACGCAGAUGA